This 58-nucleotide transfer RNA is filed under the name Salmo salar (Atlantic salmon). It matches the Rfam family "tRNA", at positions 8 to 63 of the family's 71-position model. From Rfam's summary of the family: Transfer RNA (tRNA) molecules are approximately 80 nucleotides in length. Their secondary structure includes four short double-helical elements and three loops (D, anti-codon, and T loops). The record is from Rfam by way of RNAcentral. Lineage: Eukaryota; Metazoa; Chordata; Actinopteri; Salmoniformes; Salmonidae.
UGGCUCAGUUGAUAGAGCAUGGCGCUAACAACGCCAGGGUUGUGGGUUCGAUUCACAC